This 497-nucleotide ribosomal RNA is filed under the name uncultured bacterium. Its description in RNAcentral is "partial 16S ribosomal RNA". It matches the Rfam family "Bacterial small subunit ribosomal RNA", at positions 28 to 507 of the family's 1533-position model. The record is from RNAcentral.
GAUGAACGCUGGCGGCGUGCCUAAUACAUGCAAGUCGAGCGAACGGACGAGAAGCUUGCUUCUCUGAUGUUAGCGGCGGACGGGUGAGUAACACGUGGAUAACCUACCUAUAAGACUGGGAUAACUUCGGGAAACCGGAGCUAAUACCGGAUAAUAUUUUGAACCGCAUGGUUCAAAAGUGAAAGACGGUCUUGCUGUCACUUAUAGCUGGAUCCGCGCUGCAUUAGCUAGUUGGUAAGGUAACGGCUUACCAAGGCAACGAUGCAUAGCCGACCUGAGAGGAUGAUCGGCCACACUGGAACUGAGACACGGUCCAGACUCCUACGGGAGGCAGCAGUAGGGAAUCUUCCGCAAUGGGCGAAAGCCUGACGGAGCAACGCCGCGUGAAUGAUGAAGGUCUUCGGAUCGUAAAACUCUGUUAUUAGGGAAGAACAUAUGUGUAAGUAACUGUGCACAUCUUGACGGUACCUAAUCAGAAAGCCACGGCUAACUACGUG